Ovis aries (sheep) is the source of this 72-nucleotide transfer RNA. It matches the Rfam family "tRNA". From Rfam's summary of the family: Transfer RNA (tRNA) molecules are approximately 80 nucleotides in length. The record is from Rfam. Lineage: Eukaryota; Metazoa; Chordata; Mammalia; Artiodactyla; Bovidae.
UCCCUGGUGGCUCAGACGAUAAAGGAUCUGCCUACAAUGCAGGAGACCCAGGUUCAAUCCCUGGGUAAGGAA